UACGAAGGGUGCAAGCGUUACUCGGAAUUACUGGGCGUAAAGCGUGCGUAGGUGGUUGUUUAAGUCUGUUGUGAAAGCCCUGGGCUCAACCUGGGAAUUGCAGUGGAUACUGGGCGACUAGAGUGUGGUAGAGGGUAGUGGAAUUCCCGGUGUAGCAGUGAAAUGCGUAGAGAUCGGGAGGAACAUCCAUGGCGAAGGCAGCUACCUGGACCAACACUGACACUGAGGCACGAAAGCGUGGGUAGCGAACAGG
RNAcentral lists this ribosomal RNA (253 nucleotides) under uncultured bacterium. RNAcentral's name for it is "partial 16S ribosomal RNA". It matches the Rfam family "Bacterial small subunit ribosomal RNA", at positions 524 to 776 of the family's 1533-position model. The record is from RNAcentral.